This is a long non-coding RNA of Dama dama (fallow deer), 898 nucleotides long. RefSeq lists it as uncharacterized. NCBI's taxonomy places the organism in Eukaryota, Metazoa, Chordata, Mammalia, Artiodactyla, Cervidae. The transcript has 3 exons. The record is from RefSeq and is a predicted model, not a curated record.
GUCAGGGUGCCCUGCUUACUCCGCCUCAGCACCUGCAUCAUGCUCCAGCACAUGAAGGCCACGGAGGCCAGGACCACGAGGUAGACCACGAAGGCGCCGAAGAUACUGGACUGGAACACGGUCCAGUGGCUGGACAGGUAGCCUUUCUUCUGUAGCACCUGGGUGACCCGAAUGGUGACACUGUUCCCCAGGAUGCCCACCACGAAGAUAACCAGUUUCACUCGGCUGCCCAGGCCCCUCCCCAGGCAGCGGCGGCGGGGAAUCUCUAACUGCGGACGUGUAGAUGCAUAAGGAUGGCGCCAUCCACCCGGGCGCUUCUGGCAGGAAGAGCGUCCCCAGUCCUCCUCCGAGGGAGCUGCGACCGGGACAUCUAGGGCAGCAGGAGGGGUAAACAUGACAUUAAGGAUUAUGACAUUUCUCUCUUCUCUGAGAGGAAAACCUCUAAUGGACCCAUCUUCCUCUUCUAAUUCUAAAAUCCGAAGAACACUGCCGCACUCGGGGGUGGAGUGAGGAGGUGGAGGUGUGUGGUGUUGGGGGGAGGCUGUCUUAUGCACUGUAGAAUAUUUAGCAUCCCCAGGUCUCCUGCACCCCCAUACCCAACCGUCACCCAACAAGGACAGCCAGGAUGUCUCCAGAUGUUGCCAGUUGUCCUCUGAGGAAGCAGAACUGGCCCAGGUGGAGAGCCACUGCCUUGAAGGAAGAAAAUAGAUCCUCUUUAUCUGUUCAUCCUGAGGGCCUAGCACAGGCCUGUCCAAAGAGAGUCCUUAAAUUAUCACAGAUUUUAUUUUCUUGGGUUCCAAAAUCAGUCUGGACAGUGACUGCUGCCAUGAAAGUUAUGACAAACCUAGGCAGCGUAUUAAAAAGCAAAGACAUCACUUUGCUGACAAAGCUAUGGUUU